Ornithorhynchus anatinus (platypus) is the source of this 134-nucleotide small nucleolar RNA. NCBI's taxonomy places the organism in Eukaryota, Metazoa, Chordata, Mammalia, Monotremata, Ornithorhynchidae. The record is from RefSeq and is a predicted model, not a curated record.
CCCCUCCAGGUCACCCCUGGAGAGUUUCCAGUACUCUACCAGUCUCGACUUGGAGGGAGAGUCAAGCAGAGGCAUAUUCAUUCCAUUCCUAGCUUGGGCGGUAGCUAGCGAGUAGAAGACAAUCUGCUACAAGU